Molecule: long non-coding RNA, 1143 nt
Organism: Sorex araneus (European shrew)
Lineage: Eukaryota; Metazoa; Chordata; Mammalia; Eulipotyphla; Soricidae
Exons: 3
Source: RefSeq, a predicted model, not a curated record
AGCAGAUGGCCGAGCCUCCGAGCGCGGCCAGGCGCGGCGAGCUGAUGGCAGAGCCUCCGAGCGCCAGGCGCGGCGAGCAGAUGGCAGAGCCCCCGAGCGCGAUAAACGCGGCGGGAUUGCCGAGGAGGAACUGAGGUCCGGGCGAUUUUCUGUGCGGCCGGAGUAACCAGAUUUCUCUGUUGGGUCACCCGGCGGUGUUCAGGGGUCACUCCUGGUGGGGAUCCGGGGACCUCAGUUGGUGCCGGGGAUCGAACAUGGGCCAACCGCCUACAAAUGUAGCGAGCGCCCUACUCCCUGCAUUAUCUCUUCGAGGUCUCACUCUGCUCCGUAACUGCCGCGGUGUAACCUGGACCAUUGGCGUCUUGGCUCUCGGAAAUUGCAGUUCUGCCGUUUAUUGUGUGUUGAUGCUGGCGGGGUGUGGGCCCUCUUCCAGGGAGGCGAGCUCGCAUGACUUUCUUACUCGUGUAUCUGGGAAGCUGAGAAGUCAGACUGAGCCUGAACCUCCGAGAUGGAGUAAGGAAUAUCUUAGCGGAAAGACCACAUCGCGGGCUGGGCGCUUGCACGUGGCUCAGUCCCCAGCACUCCGUCUGCUUCCCCGAGCUGAGUGCUGCGCCAGGGGUGUUCCUCCUGGGCUUCUUGUUCAUCUGCUCAGAAGAAAAUCAGCUGCUGUGGGGGACCGAGACCCUGGGAAAAGGAGAACUUAGCCAUUUCCCCAGACAGGGAGUGCCCACCAAGAUAUUGUAGCGCCUCUUCAGACCCUGAAAUAACUUGGUCCAGCAGGACGGGACAAGCUGCCAUGUUGUAAUCUGCCCUGUGGAGAAUACCAAGGAACUGAGAAUGGAGACAAGCCUCUGAUGAUGGCCAUAAGGAACCACAACCCUCAUUCAACAACUGGAAGGACUUACAUGGAACAGAACCCCUCUGACAGCCAUGGAAGCACUUCUGGAAGAGGCUCUUCAGCCAUCAGUGCUUCAGAAAAGACUAGGAUCCCAUCCUACAUCCAAACUGAAGCCCAAGACACUUGAUUUGAGAUGCCCAGUUAAUCUGUACCAAUUCUUGGCCCAUAGGAGAUGGAGAAAUGUUUCACUGUUUUUUUUUGUUUUGUUUUGUUUUUUUACUUUUUUUUUUUUUUUUUUUUUUGCU